ACAUUAAUAUCAAUCUAAUGACAUUCCAUAGGAAUAAAAAUCCAAUGGGAUCCAGUUCUUAGCAGUCCCAGCCUAGUCAGAAGUACAAAGUCAAAUACCAUUUGCACAUCACCAAGAGGUACAAUCUGAUGAGUAACAUGAUAUCUGAUCUAAAAGCUUGCCAGGUUUCACAAGCUGUUUGAGUAUCACCAGGGCAGAUCAAGAAGAAAUAUGAAGGCCAGGUUCAUAACAAGCAGUUUCUUCAUUGCAAUUACAGAUUUAAAAACUUGAAUGA
Lytechinus variegatus (green sea urchin) is the source of this 274-nucleotide long non-coding RNA. RefSeq lists it as uncharacterized. The record is from RefSeq and is a predicted model, not a curated record. NCBI's taxonomy places the organism in Eukaryota, Metazoa, Echinodermata, Echinoidea, Temnopleuroida, Toxopneustidae. The transcript has 3 exons.